This 853-nucleotide long non-coding RNA is filed under the name Homo sapiens (human). RNAcentral describes it as "non-protein coding lnc-EXO1-4:1". The record is from RNAcentral. Lineage: Eukaryota; Metazoa; Chordata; Mammalia; Primates; Hominidae.
GCAGGUGAAACAAUUGAGAAGCCAGAUACCAAAGAGAAGAAACCCAAAGCCAAGAAGGCUGAUGCUGGUGGUGAAAAAGGGUCACCUCAAGACUAAAAAGCCCAAGAAGGGGAAGCCCCAUUGCAGUGCAAUCCUGUCCUUGUCAGAGGAAUUGGCAGGUAUUCCUGACCUGCCGUGUAUUCCAGAAAGGCCACGUAUAAGAGGAAGUACUCAGCCGCUAAAUCCAAGGUUGAAAAGAAAAAGAAGGAGAAGGUUUUUGCAACUGUUACAAAACCAGUUGGUGGUGACAAGAACGGUGGUACCCGGGUGGUUAAACUUCGCAAAAUGCCUAGAUAUUAUCCUACUGAAGAUGUGCCUGGAAAGCUGCUGAGCCAUGGCAACAAACCCUUCAGUCAGCACGUGAGAAAACUGCGAGCCAGCAUUACCCCGGGGACCAUUCUGAUCCUCCUCACUGGAGGCCACAGGGGCAAGAGGGUGGUUUUCCUGAAGCAGCUGGCUAGUGGCUUAUUACUUGUGACUGGACCUCUGGCCCUCAAUCGAGUUCCUCUAUGAAGAAAAUACCAGAAAUUUGUCAUUGCGACUUCAACCAAAAUUGAUAUCAGCAAUGUAAAAAUCCCAGAACAUCUUAGUGAUGCUUACUUCAAGAAGAAGCUGUGGAAGUUCAGACCAGGAAGGUGAGAUCUUCAACACAGAAAAAGAGAAAUACAAGAUUACAGAGCAGUGCAAGAUUGAUCAGAAAGCUGUGGACUCACACAUUUUACGAAAAACCAAAGCUAUUCCUCAGCAUCAGGUCUACCUGCCAUCUGUGUUUGCCCGGACAAAUGGAAUUUAUCCUCACAAAUUGGCAUUCUAA